AUACUUAGCUGGCAGGAGAGAGACCGAGACCGCGAGCACGGAGGUGGUUUUCCCGGGGCGAGGCUUAGCCAUUGCUCUCCGGAUGUGCUGACCCCUGCGAUUUCCCCAAAUGUGGGAAACUUGACCGCACAAUUUGUGUUGUAGGGGACUGUGUUCGCGUUCUCCCCUG
Non-coding RNA from Erinaceus europaeus (western European hedgehog), 169 nucleotides. The record is from Rfam. NCBI's taxonomy places the organism in Eukaryota, Metazoa, Chordata, Mammalia, Eulipotyphla, Erinaceidae.